This 168-nucleotide ribosomal RNA is filed under the name Triticum aestivum (bread wheat). RNAcentral's name for it is "partial small subunit ribosomal RNA". The record is from RNAcentral. Lineage: Eukaryota; Viridiplantae; Streptophyta; Magnoliopsida; Poales; Poaceae.
CUGCUUCUACUUUCUGUAUGGAGCUGGGAGCGUCUACCUGUUGGACGCCCGAAGAGCGUCAGGUUUGAUCCUUGGUAUGUAGAUGAACAUGACGAAUUACGACGCCCCACGUGGGCUUACAAGUGGGAUAUCGUUUCCGAGAUGACGAACGAUGUCAAUCUCAUGUAA